RNAcentral lists this ribosomal RNA (157 nucleotides) under uncultured bacterium. RNAcentral describes it as "partial 16S ribosomal RNA". It matches the Rfam family "Bacterial small subunit ribosomal RNA", at positions 357 to 525 of the family's 1533-position model. The record is from RNAcentral.
GGGGAUUUCGCCAAUGGGCGCAAGCCUGAUGCAGCGACGCCGCGUGAGGGAUGACGGCCUUCGGGUUGUAAACCUCUUUCACCAGGGACGAAGAGUGAUUGACGGUACCUAGGAGAAGAAGCACCGGCCAACUACGUGCCAGCAGCCGGAGGUAAUA